This 404-nucleotide ribosomal RNA is filed under the name uncultured eukaryote. RNAcentral describes it as "SSU rRNA". It matches the Rfam family "Eukaryotic small subunit ribosomal RNA", at positions 587 to 972 of the family's 1831-position model. The record is from RNAcentral.
AGCUCCAAUAGCGUAUAUUAAAGUUGUUGCAGUUAAAACGCCCGUAGUUGAAUUUCAAGAGCCUUUUUGUAGUCUGCUACUUGGCCUUUUCGGCGAGUAUGUCUGGGCUACGGGUUCUUUAUUUUGUUUGGUGCCCAAUGCUUCUUGUUCUGCAAGCGGUGUUGGUUUUGUGCCAAGCACUUUUACUUUGAAAAAAUUAGAGUGUUCAAAGCAGGCUGUUUACAGCUUGAAUAUCUUAGCAUGGAAUAAUAGAAUAGGACUUUAGUUCUAUUUUGUUGGUUUCUAGGACUAGAGUAAUGAUUAAUAGGGAUAGUUGGGGGCAUUAGUAUUUGAUUGUCAGAGGUGAAAUUCUUAGAUUUAGCAAAGACUGACUUCUGCGAAGGCAUUUGCCAAGGAUGUUUUCA